CUACAAGAGGGUUUAGGGGAACUGUCCAGUUUAUUACUGCCAAUCUCAUUUGCUGUCACCUCACAAAGUUAAUAGUUUCACCUCUUAAUCCAUUUUGUCCCAUCAUCUCAGAUGUGGAACACCUAUAAAAACUUAAAUUGAACAAGAAAUAUACCAUUUGUGGAACUAAAUAAUUAAUUUAAUUUAACUAAUUGAAAACUUAGGGAUUAAUGGGCAGUUCUUGCAACCUUUGAACAUCAGGACCUGUAGUUUGGCAGUGCUGCCAGCAGGAGGCAGUGGGGUCUAAGUCAUGGGUCACCUGUGUUGCUGCUAUGCUUUACCUCUCCGGGCCCUCAGAUUUAUAACCAAGAGUUUUCCAGUUACCUAUUACAAAACUUAAUAAUAAUAAAAAUAAUAAAAUACCUGAUUAAAAUGACAGCUUUGUUUUAAAGUAUUGUACAAGCCAUCUUAUGGGGCUGGAGGUGUAGUUCAAUAGAAAAUUUUCCUAGCAUGCUCCAGACUCUGGGUUCAGUCCCUACCACUACAAAAGAAAAAGGCAUAUUCUGG
Molecule: long non-coding RNA, 546 nt
Filed under: Marmota monax (woodchuck)
Lineage: Eukaryota; Metazoa; Chordata; Mammalia; Rodentia; Sciuridae
Source: RNAcentral